Molecule: unclassified non-coding RNA, 748 nt
Filed under: Dendrobates auratus (green and black poison dart frog)
Lineage: Eukaryota; Metazoa; Chordata; Amphibia; Anura; Dendrobatidae
Description: partial contains 12S ribosomal RNA, tRNA-Val and 16S ribosomal RNA
Rfam family: Bacterial small subunit ribosomal RNA (bases 1-496)
Source: RNAcentral
GCUCAGUCGUAAACUUUAAAUUACCCCCUCUUCGCCCGGGAACUACGAGCUAUGCUUAAAACCCAAAGGACUUGACGGUACCCCAUAUCCCCCUAGAGGAGCCUGUCCUAUAAUCGAUACCCCCCGUUCAACCUCACCAUUUCUAGUAAAAUCAGCCUGUAUACCUCCGUCGUCAGCUUACCACGUGAGCGUUAGUGAGCUAAAUGUUUAUUCAACCACACGUCAGGUCAAGGUGCAACACAUGAGAUGGAAAGAGAUGGGCUACACUCUCUAGCUUAGAAGAUACGAAAGACUACUUAUGAAACCUAGUCAGAAGGCGGAUUUAGAAGUAAAAUGGAACCAGAGAGUCCCUUUUAACCUGGCACUGGGGUGUGUACACACCGCCCGUCACCCUCCUCAACGCUAUUUUAAAGUUUCUUACACAUUUUAGCUGCAUAGAAGAGGCAAGUCGUAACAUGGUAAGUAUACUGGAAAGUGUGCUUGGAAACAAAAUGUAGCUUAAUCUUUAAAGCCCCUCGCUUACACCGAGGUAAUAUCCGUGAAACUCUGAUCAUUUUGAGCUAACUACCUAGCCCCAACCCUCAGUAUUCUUACCCCCCUUCUCCCCCCACCUCAACCAAAACAUUUUCCUAAGAUUUAGUAAGGGCGAUUAAAAAAACUCUUGGAGCUAUAAACAUAGUACCGCAAGGGAAAGGUGAAAUAAAAAUGAAAUAACUCCCAAGCAUAAAGAAGUAGAGCUUAACCCUCG